GCGGGCCACAUUGUCCUUGUUCCGCACGUGCCACGACUUCUUGGGCAGGAUGUUCAUGGUCCCGCCUCAAGUCCGCACUGCGCGGCGCCACUUCCGCUUCCGGGUUAGCGCCCUGCCGGUGCGCUGAUUGGCACGCCCAGAUUUAAAAUUUUCCCAAUUGCAGAAAAUCACAGGAGAGUCAAAGAACGGGGGGAGUCAGCCAAUGAUUUAUCGACAGCAGGUG
Molecule: long non-coding RNA, 223 nt
Organism: Chelonia mydas (Green sea turtle)
Lineage: Eukaryota; Metazoa; Chordata; Testudines; Cheloniidae
Exons: 2
Source: RefSeq, a predicted model, not a curated record